Molecule: ribosomal RNA, 251 nt
Filed under: uncultured bacterium
Lineage: Bacteria
Description: partial 16S ribosomal RNA
Rfam family: Bacterial small subunit ribosomal RNA
Source: RNAcentral
CGAGCAUGUGAAUGUGAGCAAAUCCCAAAAAUAACGUCUCAGUUCGGAUUGUAGUCUGCAACUCGACUACAUGAAGCUGGAAUCGCUAGUAAUCGCGAAUCAGAAUGUCGCGGUGAAUACGUUCCCGGGUCUUGUACACACCGCCCGUCACACCAUGGGAGUUGGUAACGCCCGAAGUCAGUGACCCAACCUUAGGGAGGGAGCUGCCGAAGGCGGGACUGAUAACUGGGGUGAAGUCGUAACAAGGUAUC